CAGUCGCCACGGUAAUACGAAGGGUGCAAGCGUUACUCGGAAUUACUGGGCGUAAAGCGUGUGUAGGUGGUUGUUUAAGUCUGUUGUGAAAUCCCCGGGCUCAACCUGGGAAUGGCAAUGGAUACUGGCAAGCUAGAGUGUGUCAGAGGAUGGUGGAAUUCCCGGUGUAGCGGUGAAAUGCGUAGAGAUCGGGAGGAAUACCGGUGGCGAAGGCGGCCCCCUGGACGAAGACUGACGCUCAGGUACGAAAGCGUGGGGAGCAAACAGGAUUAGAUACCCCUGUAGUCCCUGUCUCUUAUAC
Molecule: ribosomal RNA, 301 nt
Filed under: uncultured bacterium
Lineage: Bacteria
Description: partial 16S ribosomal RNA
Rfam family: Bacterial small subunit ribosomal RNA
Source: RNAcentral